UCAAACUUGGUCAUUUAGAGGAAGUAAAAGUCGUAACAAGGUUUCCGUAGGUGAACCUGCGGAAGGAUCAUUAUUGAAUAAACUUGGUUUAGAUUGUUGCUGGUUCUUUUCUAGAACAUGUGCACAUCUGAUACCAAUUUUCAACCACCUGUGCACCUUUAGGAUGGACUUACAGAUAUGUUCUCGAUAUGUGCUCGGUUUUUGGGAUAGCUGGUCUCUGCUCCAGCCUUCCUUCCAUUUCUGUGUCUGUCUUUUUCUACCAUAUAUUCUUAUUUGAAACUUUAUUGAUUUGACUUUACAAUAUAUAUAUACAACUUUCAACAACGGAUCUCUUGGCUCUCGCAUCGAUGAAGAACGCAGC
RNAcentral lists this unclassified non-coding RNA (361 nucleotides) under uncultured fungus. Its description in RNAcentral is "partial contains small subunit ribosomal RNA, internal transcribed spacer 1, and 5.8S ribosomal RNA". The stretch from base 1 to 73 matches the Rfam family "Eukaryotic small subunit ribosomal RNA", at positions 1759 to 1831 of the family's 1831-position model. The record is from RNAcentral. Lineage: Eukaryota; Fungi.